RNAcentral lists this ribosomal RNA (476 nucleotides) under uncultured organism. RNAcentral's name for it is "partial 16S ribosomal RNA". It matches the Rfam family "Bacterial small subunit ribosomal RNA", at positions 334 to 801 of the family's 1533-position model. The record is from RNAcentral.
CACUCCUACGGGAGGCAGCAGUGGGGAAUUUUGGACAAUGGGCGAAAGCCUGAUCCAGCAAUGCCGCGUGUGUGAAGAAGGCCUUCGGGUUGUAAAGCACUUUUGUCCGGAAAGAAAUCCUUGGCUCUAAUACAGUCGGGGGAUGACGGUACCGGAAGAAUAAGCACCGGCUAACUACGUGCCAGCAGCCGCGGUAAUACGUAGGGUGCGAGCGUUAAUCGGAAUUACUGGGCGUAAAGCGUGCGCAGGCGGUUUGCUAAGACCGAUGUGAAAUCCCCGGGCUCAACCUGGGAACUGCAUUGGUGACUGGCAGGCUAGAGUAUGGCAGAGGGGGGUAGAAUUCCACGUGUAGCAGUGAAAUGCGUAGAGAUGUGGAGGAAUACCGAUGGCGAAGGCAGCCCCCUGGGCCAAUACUGACGCUCAUGCACGAAAGCGUGGGGAGCAAACAGGAUUAGAAACCCUUGUAGUCCCAUGAU